RNAcentral lists this ribosomal RNA (773 nucleotides) under uncultured Neocallimastigales. Its description in RNAcentral is "partial large subunit ribosomal RNA". It matches the Rfam family "Eukaryotic large subunit ribosomal RNA", at positions 20 to 649 of the family's 3401-position model. Lineage: Eukaryota; Fungi; Neocallimastigomycota; Neocallimastigomycetes; Neocallimastigales. The record is from RNAcentral.
UACUAGAGUAGCACUCGCAUAUCAAUAAGCGGAGGAAAAGAAGCUAACAAGGAUUCCCCUAGUAACGGCGAGUGAAGCGGGAAGAGCUCAAAUUUGAAAUCUUAAAGGGUUUCCCUUUACGAAUUGUAGUUUAAAGAGGUGUUUUCUGUUGAGGUUUUGGUAAAAGUUCUUUGGAAUAGGACAUCAUAGAGGGUGAGAAUCCCGUAUUUGACCUUUACUUUCAACUUUGUGAUACACUUUCAAAGAGUCGGAUUGUUUGGGAAUGCAGUCCAAAAUGGGUGGUAAAUUUCAUCUAAAGCUAAAUAUUGGCGAGAGACCGAUAGCGAACAAGUACCGUGAGGGAAAGAUGAAAAGAACUUUGAAAAGAGAGUUAAACAGUACGUGAAAUUGUCAAAAGGGAAGCGUUUGACACCAGUGUUGUUUUUCUGAAAAUCAAUUAAAGAACUGUUUAUGCCAAGCUGUUUAGACUUUAUCAGCUAUCUGUUUAGUUUUGAGCUUUUCUUUAAUGCACUUUUCAGUUAACAAGUCAACAUCAAUUUCUUUUGCUGUAAAAAAGCUUGAGGAAGGUGGCUUGAGAUUCGUCUUAAGUGUUUAUAGCCUCUUGCCUAUGCAGUCGGAGAGAUUGAGGUCUGCAGCGUAGAUCCUUCGGGGCUAAAUGCAUUUGUGCUGAGUUAUAGCAUUUUAUAGACAACUUGUUGACUAUGAUUUGUCUGUAGCUUACUCGCUUAUGUUAUUUUACCUACGCUUAGGAUGUUGAGUAGCGACAUACGCAC